RNAcentral lists this ribosomal RNA (404 nucleotides) under uncultured bacterium. Its description in RNAcentral is "partial 16S ribosomal RNA". It matches the Rfam family "Bacterial small subunit ribosomal RNA", at positions 30 to 526 of the family's 1533-position model. The record is from RNAcentral.
AUUGAACGCUAGCGGGAUGCUUUACACAUGCAAGUCGAACGAGUGGCGGACGGGUGAGUAAUAUAUCGGAACGUGCCCAGUAGAGGGGGAUAACUACUCGAAAGAGUGGCUAAUACCGCAUACUUUUGAUGAGGCCGAAUGGGAUUAGCUUGUUGGUGGGGUAAAGGCUCACCAAGGCGACGAUCCCUAGCUGGUUUGAGAGGAGGACCAGCCACACUGGAACUGAGACACGGCCCAGACUCCUACGGGAGGCAGCAGUGGGGAAUUUUGGACAAUGGGGGAAACCCUGAUCCAGCCAUCCCGCGUGUAUGAGAAGGCCUUCGGGUUGUAAAGUACUUUUGGCAGAGAAGCGGUAUCUGCAGAAUAAGCACCGGCUAACUACGUGCCAGCAGCCGCGGUAAUUC